GUGCUUGCUUCAGCAGCACAUAUCCUAAAGUUGGAAGGAUGCAGAGGAGAUUAACAUGGUCCCAGUGCAAGAACAACAGCAACAACAAAAAUCUCCUGUAGCAUUUC
Mastomys coucha (southern multimammate mouse) is the source of this 107-nucleotide small nuclear RNA. The record is from RefSeq and is a predicted model, not a curated record. NCBI's taxonomy places the organism in Eukaryota, Metazoa, Chordata, Mammalia, Rodentia, Muridae.